Astatotilapia calliptera (eastern happy) is the source of this 2608-nucleotide long non-coding RNA. Lineage: Eukaryota; Metazoa; Chordata; Actinopteri; Cichliformes; Cichlidae. The record is from Ensembl.
AUUUAUCUUUGUGUGUUUGGUUGUCAGGACAAGCCCCAGGACAAGAGGGCAGAACACCGGUCCUUUGGAAGCUCGCUUCAUAAGCGGCUACACUGCAGUUACAUGAUGUACAUACAGCCCGGCCUUUUACAGAAAGUACCCUUUUAUUUGGUAUGUUUGUUUUGAUAGUCGUUUAUUAUUAUUAUUCUUUUUUAAAUAAAGAUAUAUGCUAGCUUAUUAGCGACCAACAUACUAUUGCUACAAAGAGUCAAACGGUAGGAAACCGUUGUCAGAACUGUUGUCUUCUAGCAACUUAAAGAAGUCCAGACGCUUUUCUUUGCAAGCUCCUUUGACUACGAUGACCUGGAUGACUGAGAACCUUCACAGACACACCGCUGUCUUCAUUAUCUUCACGAUUCAAGUUGAGUAAGACAGACAGACUGAGACUAAAAUAAUGUCUGAUCUAAAAUACUACAUGUCACUGUCUGUGACUGUGGGUGUCAUGUUGGUGGGCCUGUCGUACACAAUCUGUUUAGCCUCCCAGUGGAUUUAUGGUUGGCCUGACAAGCCUGGGUAUAAGAAGUACAUAGAAGCUCUUAAUCCAAGGCGAAUAUAUCGUCUCAGCUUUGUUACGCUGGAUCUUCUCAAAUACCUGCGGUAUGCCAGACUUUACUUUCAACUGAAGUCAUGGUAUAACGAUGAGAGGAACCUUAAGUAUUACGAAAAGGGCAUCACAUUUGGUCGCAGAGGCAACAAGCUGGACUUGUACCACCCUCCAAAUGUAGACAAGUUAGAAGAUAUGCCAUCACCAGUUGUAAUAUUUAUCUAUGGAGGUGCUUGGAGUUCAGGAGAAAGGUCCACUUACUGUUUACUGAGCAGGCAGAUGGCUGAAGAACUGAAAGCAACUGUAAUUUGUCCUGAUUACUGCACAUAUCCAAAGGGGAAUGUUUUAGGGAUGGUCCAAGAUAUCGCUGACUGCUUGAUUUGGGUCCACGAGAAUGGAGAGAAAUUCAACUUUGACAAAGAUAACAUUGUAUUAAUUGGGCAUUCAGCAGGUGCACAUUUGUGUACACUCACCACACUGUUUCUUGUUGAUACAAGAGAGGAGCUUUCCAUAGAGCCAGACAAGCAGCAGGAAGUCUUCCUGUUAAUAAGAGGAAUUAUUGGUCUGAGUGGCGUCUACAACACUGUGGAACAUUAUGAACAUGAACAGAAACGAGGAAUCGAAUACCUCUCUGACAUGCACAGAGCAAUGACUGGUGUGGAAAACCUUCCAUUCUACUCACCAACACACUUACUGAAGAAGCUCAGCCAGGACAAAGUCAGCAGAUUGCCUCCAUUCGCCUUGCUCCAUGGGACCAAUGACAUUGUCGUUCCUGCUGAAUCUACCAUGAGAUUCUCUGAGCUUCUCACUUCGCGCUCUGUUAAGUUGUCAUUGAAUCUGCUUCCCAGAGCGAGCCACACUGAUAUCCCCGUUGACCUCAUGGUGUCAAACAGACGCCUCUACCAUCCAAUCUACGGAUACAUCAACGAAGAGUUCAGAAAACUUCUGGGUACUUGCACAUCAUUAGAAAAACAUUCAAAAAUCUGUAAUACAUACUGAAUGAUCCAUACAUUUAUGUUUUAGAUACUUGUUCUUAUACCUCAAAUGAACCAUUUAACUUUGAGUUUGAUUUAACACUUUCUGAGUUAAUAACACUGUCAUUAUAUUUUAACAAUACUGUGAUUGUGUGGGAGAGUUGUUCUCUACGAUGCUUUCAAAUAAAUAAUCACAAAGUAAAAUAAGUUGUGGAGAAAUGUGCGCUAGUAAGAAUUGCACUGAUACACAGUAUUAAAAGUUGAAUACAGUUAACAAAUCUGUAGCUGUUGUUUAAUUAUCAAAUUUGAGAAUUUUCAAGUGUUUUAUUUGAUACUCUAAAAGUACGUGUAUAAUAUAUUGUAACAGCACAUUAAUAACCCAAGUUUUAUUGACAAAUGAAGUACAGUCAUCAUUUUUACACCUACUUGAAAUUAUUAUGCCUAAUAUUCCAAAAUUCAAUGUUGUUACAUCUUGUGAUAGUGUUAAAAUCUAACCCGUCACUCUUUUUGAUAUACAUGUAUUUACAGAGAGCAAAAUAUUUUGGGAAGUCUUGAAUGAUUAGCAAUUUUUGAGCCAGUAUAACUUUGAAACAGUACAUAAAUACCAUCAGAUUUUCACUGCAGAACAAUAGUAACCAUGUUCUGUAAAACUUAAUUGCUUUAAAAUGUUUGAAUUUUGAGCAUUAUUUACAAAAAAUGUGUGUCAAAUGUUUGUACUGCAAGUAGAAUAGAAUAAAACUUUGGUCUGUAUCAACUGUGCAGGAAAUCAAAAUAGUAAGACAAGGGGAAUAAAUAACCAACAAGAGGAAUAUGUACAAAACAAGGGGAAGGAGUUGGUUGGUGUAUGGAGUCUGUGUGUGAGUGACCUGAGGGAUGAGGCCACUCAGAUCAUGAAUCAGACCAUAGCUCAGAUUGGUGGGUGGGUGGGGUGGAGGUGUGGGACUUGAUUCACCUGAGGUAUGAAAUCUCUACACAUCAUAUUCACUGUCUGGCCUUUGACGAGAUAAACUGAUCACGUUCUUGUGUUUGCAAAAAAACUACAUGAAAAAAC